Sander lucioperca (pikeperch) is the source of this 1022-nucleotide long non-coding RNA. RefSeq lists it as uncharacterized. The transcript has 2 exons. The record is from RefSeq and is a predicted model, not a curated record. Lineage: Eukaryota; Metazoa; Chordata; Actinopteri; Perciformes; Percidae.
GCACAAAAGCAGCAUCCAAGAAAGGUCUAGUCCUUUAGGAGCAAAGAUGGGCCGAGGAUCGCCAGUUUGCCAACAAAUAUGUGAGAAAAUUAUUGAAAUGUUUACACCUUCAACAGUGCAUAACAUAAUUAAAAGAUUCAAGGAAUGUGGAGGAAUUUCAAUGCGUAAAGGACAAGGGCGCAAGCCUAAGCUGAACAACCGUGAUCUCCGAUCCCUCAGGCGGCACUGCAUCAAGAAUCGUCAUUCAUCUAUAAGCGAUAUCACCACAUGGGCUCAGGACUACUUUGGCAAACCUUUGUCAAGUACCACAAUACGUAGUUAUAUCCACAAAUGCCAGUUAAAACUGUACUGUGCCAAAAGGAAGCCCUAUGUUAACAGUGUCCAGAAGCGCCUACUGUGGUCAGAUGAAUCAGUAUUUCAGGUAUUUUUUGGGAGAAAUGGACGCCGUGUGCUCCGGACCAAAGAAGAAAAGGAUCAUCCAGACUGUUACCAGCAACAAGUCCAAAAGCCAGGGUCUGUCAUGGUAUGGGGUUGUGUCAGUGCCCUUGGCAAAGGUAACUUGCACUUCUGUGACGGCACCAUUAAUGCUGAAAAGUACAUAGAGAUUUUGGAGCACAAUAUGCUGCCUUCAAGAAGACAUCUUUUCCAGGGACGUCCAUGCAUAUUUCAACAAGAUAAUGCAAAACCACAUUCUGCACACAUUACAAAGUCCUGGAGGAAGAGGAUACGGGUACUUGACUGGCCUGCCUGCAGUCCCGACCUGUCUCCAAUAGAGAAUGUGUGGCGCAUUUUGAAGCGCAAAAUGCGACAACGAAGACCCCGUACUGUUGCCCACCUUAAGACUUGUUUGCAGCAAGAAUGGGACAAAAUUACACCUGAAACACUUCAUCACUUGGUGUCUUCAGUCCCUAAACGUCUUUUAAGUGUUGUGAAAAGGAAUGGCAACAUUACAAAGUGGUAAAUGCUUUACUGUUCCAACUUUUUUUGAAAUGUGUUGCAAGAACCAAAAUAGGAAUUUUGUU